RNAcentral lists this ribosomal RNA (497 nucleotides) under uncultured bacterium. RNAcentral describes it as "bacterial SSU rRNA". It matches the Rfam family "Bacterial small subunit ribosomal RNA", at positions 899 to 1397 of the family's 1533-position model. The record is from RNAcentral.
ACUCAAAGGAAUUGACGGGGACCCGCACAAGCAGCGGAGCAUGUGGUUUAAUUCGACGCUACGCGAAGAACCUUACCAAGGCUUGACAUCGUCUGACCGCCGCAGAGAUGCGGCUUUCCAGCAAUGGACAGAUAGACAGGUGGUGCAUGGUUGUCGUCAGCUCGUGUCGUGAGAUGUUCGGUUAAGUCCGGCAACGAGCGCAACCCUUAUGAUAUGUUGCCAAUAUUAAGUUAGGAACUCAUAUCAGACUGCCGUGGAUAACACGGAGGAAGGCGGGGAUGACGUCAAAUCAUCAUGCCCCUUACGUCUUGGGCUACACACGUGCUACAAUGGGCGCUACAAUGAGCAGCGGGCCGGUAACGGUGAGCGAAUCUCAAAAAAGCGUUCUCAGUUCAGAUUGUGGGCUGCAACCCGCCCGCAUGAAGGAGGAGUUGCUAGUAAUCCCGAAUCAGAAUGUCGGGGUGAAUGCGUUCCCGGGUCUUGUACACACCGCCCGU